Molecule: long non-coding RNA, 351 nt
Organism: Photinus pyralis (common eastern firefly)
Lineage: Eukaryota; Metazoa; Arthropoda; Insecta; Coleoptera; Lampyridae
Exons: 3
Source: RefSeq, a predicted model, not a curated record
AAGACAGCAAGAACCAAAGUGAGGUUAUAGAUUUGUUGGUCAUUUUUGUUUACACUUCACUAUAACACAGGCUAUACCAUUUCAACAAAAAGAUGAACUCUGACGAGCAAUUCGUGGUUUGUGACAGUUGCGGAAUUACAAACGGGUGUGAGCAUUAUAAUAUGUUGGCGGAAAUGGAUAAUUCGAUAGCCGAGCCCUUUCCCAUUUCCCAAGAAAAUGUACAAACUGACUUCACAGAGGAGACAAUUUCGGAGAUUUAAUCUCAUUUGUAUCCUUACGUCCAGCCCUUUGGGACCAUAGACUGCUAUUAAUUCAAUGAACAAAAACAAUUCGAAAAACAAAAAAGGAUCA